Molecule: ribosomal RNA, 433 nt
Filed under: uncultured bacterium
Lineage: Bacteria
Description: partial 16S ribosomal RNA
Rfam family: Bacterial small subunit ribosomal RNA
Source: RNAcentral
AACGAACGCUGGCGGCAUGCCUAACACAUGCAAGUCGAACGAGACCUUCGGGUCUAGUGGCGCACGGGUGCGUAACGCGUGGGAACCUGCCCUUAGGUUCGGAAUCACUCCCCGAAAGGGGUGCUAAUACCGGAUAAUGUCUUCGGACCAAAGAUUUAUCGCCUUUGGAUGGGCCCGCGUUGGUUUAGCUAGUUGGUAGGGUAAAAGCCUACCAAGGCGACGAUCCAUAGCUGGUCUGAGAGGAUGAUCAGCCACACUGGGACUGAGACACGGCCCAGACUCCUACGGGAGGCAGCAGUGGGGAAUAUUGGACAAUGGGCGAAAGCCUGAUCCAGCAAUGCCGCGUGAGUGAUGAAGGCCGUAGGGUUGUAAAGCUCUUUUACCCGGGAUGAUAAUGACAGUACCGGGAGAAUAAGCUCCGGCUAACUCCGUG